RNAcentral lists this ribosomal RNA (492 nucleotides) under uncultured bacterium. Its description in RNAcentral is "partial 16S ribosomal RNA". It matches the Rfam family "Bacterial small subunit ribosomal RNA", at positions 29 to 507 of the family's 1533-position model. The record is from RNAcentral.
AGUGAACGCUGGCGGUAGGCCUAACACAUGCAAGUCGAACGGCAGCACAGUAAGAGCUUGCUCUUACGGGUGGCGAGUGGCGGACGGGAGAGGAAUACAUCGGAAUCUACUUUUUCGGGGGGGAUAACGUAGGUAAACUUACGCUAAUACCGCAUACGACCUACGGGUGAAAGCAGGGGAACUUCGGACCUUGCGGGAUUGAAUGAGCCGCUGUCGGAUUGGCUGGUUGGCGGGGUAAAGGCCCACCAAGGCGCGGAUCCGUAGCCGGUCUGAGAGGCGGGUCGGCCACAUUGGAACUGAGACACGGACCAGACUCCUACGGGAGGGAGCAGUGUGGAAUGUGGGACAAUGGGCGCGAGCCUGGUCCAGCCAUACCGCGUGGGUGGAGGAGGCGUUCGGGUUGUAAAGCCGUUUUGUUGGGAAAGAAAAGCAGCAGGUUAAUACCCCGCUGUUCUGACGGUACCCAAAGAAUAAGCACCGGCUAACUUCGUG